GGGAAGAGGCCGCCUGAAGACAGAGGCUGAGGUAUGAACUAUUCCGCCACCAGCUGAGGAAUGCUGGGCCGCCAGAAGCUGGAAAAGACAGGAGGAUUCUUCCACACAUCCUCAGAGGAAGCAGGGCCCUUCCAGGCCUUGAUUCCAGGCAUCCAGCCUCCGCAACCGGAGACAAUCCAUUCCUGCUGUUUUCAGCCACCUGGUUUGUGUUAUCUUACUGCGGCAGCCCUGGGACACUGAUAACAUCUGAAUGAGAAAUGAUCGCAUUUAUUUAUGGAUUUACUCUUCAUCCUUCUCCUCAAGGGAUCCGCUCCAUAAGGUCAGGUGCCAUCUGUUUGUGUCGCUGCUCUGCGCCUCAUGUCUGGCACAGUACCUGUUGCAUUGUAGAUGCUCACAAAGGAUUCAGUUGGAUCACAGAACCCUGGGCCCUGUGUGCUGGGAGGGUCUGUCUAGUCUAGCCCCAACCUGCUGUUCCAGUCAGGCCCUCCUCCUGCCCCUCCAGCCCACUUCCCAGACAUUUUGCUUUUGACAAAUGACUCUGGUGACAGACCAUGUUCCCCCCCCCAAGACGCACAGUGGCUCACGUUAUCCUUGAAAGGGCAGUGUAACCCAGUGGUGACAAGCUGAGAGGUACAGAGAUCCCAGAGCUGGGUUCAGUGGGGUCUGGCUUGCCCUGUGGCAUCCCCCCAGCAGGCCCUGUGCCUCUCAGUUUCCUCCCCUGGAAAACGGGGACAGGAUCCCAGCCUCUCAGAGUUACUGUCAGUGCCUGGCAUGCAGUAGGUGCUCAACAAAGGGUAGCUGUGGGCCGGGCGUGGUGGCUCAUACCUGGAAUCCCAGCACUUUGGGAAGCUGAGAUGGGUGGAUCACUUGAGGCCAGGAGUUUGAGACCAGCCUGGCCAAUAUGCAGAAACCCCGUCUCUACUAAAAAUACAAAAAUUAGCCUGGCAUGGUGGUACACACUGUACUCCCAGUUACUCAGGAGUCUGAGGCUGAAGACUCACUUGAAUCUGGGAGGCAGAGGUUGUGGUGGGCUGGGGUAGCACCAUUGCACUAUAGCCUUGGCAACACGGCAAGACUGUUUCAAAAAAAAAAAAACCAAAACAACAAAAGGUAGGUGUGGUCAAUUCUCCUUGGAUGUCUCAUCUUCCCUGUGAGGCUGGCCUGAGCCCAGUCCUCCUGCAGGAAGCCUUCCCUGACUACCCCCACCCUCGGGCUGCCUCUCCCCAGGACAGACUUGCCGAAUGGCUCCCUUGCCGCUUGCACAGUCUGUUUGGGAUCGGUGAAUUGUCUGUCGGGCACCCGUGGCCCAUAUCCAGUGUCUCAGCCGUUGGCCAUGUUUUAAUGAGGGCUUCUCUUUGUAAAUAAGGAAGCAGGCCUUUGAUCUCCCUUCUGGAAUCGGCUGUCUUUGAUAGACUGCACUGAUGAACUGCUGGGCAUCCGGCUAGAAUUCAAGUCUGGGCACUGCUGCCACUCGCUGCCAAGCCCUGGGCAGCUGCCUCCCUUCUCCCAGCCUCAGUUUCCCCCUAAGUAGAAAGGGCCUGGGUAGAGCAGACAGACUGUGGUCCAUAAAUUAGCUGAUCCGUGAAUUCAGCAAAAUGCCACCUUUGUGCCAGUUUCUUUGGUAACCUCCCUUUCUUUAAUUUCAAGCACAAAUCAGCCAUUAGCUCCAGUUCCCUAAUGAGGGACAAUGAGGCCAGGAGAGGUGAAGUGACUUCUCCACACCCUCAUUCAGGCAUGAAGCCGAGGGGACAUUAGAACCCAGGUUGUCUGACUCCUGGUCUCGCUUAUUUCUGUGACUUCUCACCCUCAAAGGUCAAGGUUAACAGAGAAGGCUGUGGUCUACUGGUGAUGUCUUGGAGUCAGUCCAAGUCAGGACCCCCAGGCCGGCUCUGCCCUGCUCUGCUCUGGGAAGGCGGAGUCCUAGAACUUUGGGCAGGUCAGACACUUGGAGGAAGAACCAUUUUCAAAGGUGAAUGCAGUUCUGAUGCAAUCCCUCAAAUGGCUCCGUGGGUCUGGUUCUUGGGGACAGGGCAUUCGUGGAGGCCAGGUUCUUCACAUGUGCCCGCUGCACACACAGAGGAAGACUCGGAGAAGAAAAGGAGGUGACAGGGCUGGAACUGACCCCAAACCGUGGCCUACCUUGCACUAACUGUGCCCCCAUAUCCCAGAGGGGGGCCUGUCAGUGGGGGAAGCCCCCAGCAGGUACCUGGUACCUGGAAGGGAACAGAAACAGACUCAAAGCCACACAGUCAGGUUCCCUGGGAACAGUGUCAUGAGCAAGAGUUGGGGUAGGGAGCAGCAGCUGGAAAGGGAAAGCCGGUGACUAUGAGAGAGAUUAAAAGAGACAUUAAGAUUAAAAAAAAGAGAAAGAGGCCAGGUGCGGUGGUUCAAGCCUGUAAUCCCAGCACUUUGGGAGGCUGAGGCGGGUGGAUCACGAGGUCAAGAGAUCGAGACCAUCCUGGUCAACAUGGUGAAACCCCAUCUCUACUAAAAAAUACAAAAAAUUAGCCGGGCAUGGUGGCGCCUGCCUGUAAUCCCAGCUACUCAGGAAGCGGAGGCAAGAGAAUUGCCUGAACCCAGGAGGCGGAGGUGGCAGUGAGCCGAGACUGCACCAUUGCACUCCAGCCUGGGUAACAAGAGCGAAACUCCGUCUCAAAAAAAAAAAAAAAAAAAGAGAAAGAGAGGGAAAGCAGGGGGAAAAGAUGGAGGGAAGGAGGGAGGGAGAGAGGGAGGACGGGAAGAGAAAAGAGAGAAUGAAUGAUGGAUUCAUUUUCAUGUUCUGGGCAGAACCCAUUUCCAGAUCUAGGGGAAUGCUGAAGGCAGAGUGGCUAACUCAGUCGGCUUGACAGGAGCAUGAGGACCCUCGCCUCCUUGUCCCCUGCCCUUGUCCCCUGCGUGGCCCCUUGGUGGACAAGGGAUGGAGCCAGGCUGGUGGGAUUCAGGGCCAGAUCCCAUUGAAGGAUGGAAGAGGGUGACUGGGGGCCUGGGCCACGCUCAGGAGCUGAGUGAUCUUUAGUGAGCCACGGCCCCUCUCCUGAGCCUCAGGCUCCAAAUCUGCAAAAUGACCAGAGCUGGGGCUGCGUGCAUCUGUGUGUGUGAGGGUGUGUGUAUCUGUGUGUGUGUGCAUGUGUGUAUGUGUGUGUCUCUUUAGUGGGCUGUGCAUAUAUGUGGUUAUGUGUAUGGGUGUGUGAGUGUAUGUGUGUACAUGUGUAUGUGCAUGUAUGUGUGGUUUGUGUGUGUGUCUGUGUAUGUGUGUGUCUCUGUAGGGGGAUUUGUAUGUGGUUGUGUGUGUAUGUGUGUAUAUGUAUGUGCAUUUGUGUAUUUGUAUUUGGUGUGUGUGAGUUUAUGUCUGUGUGUAUGUGUGUGUGCAUGUCUAUAUGUGUGUGUCUCUGUGGGGGGAUGUGUGUGUGUAUGUGUGUCAUUGUGUGUGAGAGUGUGUAUUUGUAUGUUUGUGCAUGUGUGUAUGUAUGUAUAUGUAUCUGCAUGUGUGUAUGUAUUUGAGUGUGGUGUGUGUGUGUAUGUGUGUGAAUGAUGUCUGUGUGCAAAUGUGUAUGUGUGUCUGUGUGUGGGGUGUGCAUGCAUGUGUGUGGUUAUGUGUGUAUGUAUUUUUGUAUGUGCAUAUGUGUGUGUGCACACGUGUGUGUGUGUGUGUGUGUAAGAGGCAGCAUUUGGGCUCUGAUGAUCUGGGUGCCACCACGCCUGGACUCUAGGCCUCUCAUGAGUGGAAGGUGGGGCAGCUGGUCAAUAGCCCCUUCCCUGGGUGGAUCCAGCCUGGGGCCCAGCUGCGCCUCCCACACAUCCAAUGCCUCCCUCCCACUCUCUCCAGCUCCUUCCUUACUAUGCCAAGCCAACCCCGACAGUGGCAAAAAGAAAUGUUUGGGGCCAGCCAUUAGUGGGCGGAAAGUCUUUGUUUCCUUCUCUUCCUGUUCUGGGAUCCAUCCUGCUCUGGGCCAAGUAAUACCAAUAGCAGCUGCCGUCAUUGGGUGCCUACUGUGUGCCGGGCCUGGAGCUAAAGUCUUGAGAAGAUCGUCUCAUCAAACCCUCAGAACUACGCCCUUCACAGAUCCCCACUUUCCAAAGGAGGAAAUCGAGGCUCUGGGGGUGAAGUGACUGGUCUGAGGGCCCACGCUGGGGGCUGGACAAGCCCAAGGCUGCACAUGAGUGAUGGCGUUGUGACCAGAAUGCAGGGGAUGGUAGAGCCAGGACUCUGUCGAGUCUGUGCUCUUGGGCUAUCACCACCACCUGCCUGUGACCUCAAUUUCCCCAUCUGUAAGAGUUGCAGUAAGAAACGGAGAUGGUUGUAGAACCCCUGGCAUGGAAAGGCUCAGCAAACUUCAGCUAUGCGGAAGGAAGAGUUCAGAUUCAGCCUCCAGCUGAGACCCAGCUCUGCUACAUCACAGCUGGGUGAUCCUGGGCAAGUGACUUAGUCUUGCUGAGCCACUUUGUAAAAUAGGGUGCUUCAAGAAAAAGACAGUGGUGCGUAGAAAGGGCCCCACUGAGCGCCUGGCACAGGAGGAAGGACCUUUGAUCCCAGCCCUUCCCCGCCUCUCCCCUUCCCCUUGUACGGGUGUGGGAAGGGAAGGCCUGGGACAGGAGGGGAUUAGCCCUGGGUCCCCCUCCUGGGGCGGUGCUUUUAACCACGGUCUCCCCCGGGGAUCAGCCCUGCCCCCUCCCAGGCCCCCGGCCAGGCCUGUGUUUGCCGUGGGGAUCUGGGCUGCCCGGGCCCCUGCCUUUCAUUCCUGGGCAGCUUUUGCUUGCUUUGCUCGCGGUGGGGCCAGGCGGCGGUUAUGCGGCUCCCCAGGAGCAGAUGGGCCGCAGUGGGAAAGCGCGGCGGCUGUCCCUAAGAGGAUUGGCGGCCUUUCUUCCCACCCUUUGUGACGCUCCCCGAGGGCCGCCGAUGCACAGACCACAAAGGCCGCUUGUUUGGCCGCCUCUGGGGACGCAGGGGUCACAGCUGACAGCGGCGCCCUUGGAGACAGUGGCACCCCAGUGAGCGGGAGAGCCGGGAGCACCUGGAGCACCCACGCUGGGGAAAGACGGGGGUCCUUGUCUCCUCCCCGCCUCCCAGGAUUUCACAGGAAGCACUCUCGCAUGCAGGAGAGGUGCUGGGAGUGGGGGCACUGCUGGGGCAGUCCUUUAGAUGGUGCCAGUCCAGAGAGGAUCUGUCUGCAAGCCCCCAUCACCUCACUGAGAGCUCGAGGCCUAGACAGGUCUAUGACUCAGGCAAGUCACACAGCAAGUGAGUCACCAGCCAGGACUCACUCCUAGGGUCCCCAGCGCCCAGCGAAGCUCCUGCUCUCUGGGAACUGUGGUCUCUCUUUCCCCCCUGUUCAUUCCACCUGGCUGUGAGGACCAGGAGAAUCUGAGAAGGUUGAGGGCCUCGACAGUGGAGGGACUUAGCCAGUUGAAGCCUCGGGACCAAAGAACAGUCCCAGAAGGGGCAUCUGACGAUAAUUUGAGGCCAAGCUCUGCGUGAGAGGUGGAAGCUGGGAGAGGGAAAGGACAGGAAUUAUGUCACCCAGGAGCUUAUUUUAAAAAGUUGUUGCGUGGCUGCUGUGCGGUGGGUACUGAGAAAACCAGGAGAAAUAAGAUCAGCCUCGGCGCCUGGGGCCCUCUUGGUACUAGGAAGACAGAUUUGCAGGCAACAGGCUCAGGACCAGUUUCUCAGCUUUGAGAAAGUGACAUUUGGGGUAGACAACUCCUGGUUGGGGGGUGUCCUGUGUAUUACAGGAGGUGUUACAACAUCCCUGGUCUCCACCACCAGAUCUCAGCAGCACCCCUGUGACCCCAAAAAGGUCUCCAGACAUUGCCAAAUGUCCCCUGGCAGGGAGACAACCCCUGCUGAGAAUCAUUGGUCUAGACCAUAAUCCUGUUCAUUCAUUCAGCACGUGUCAAGUUCAUUUGCAUUUACCUGUUUGAGGAGAGAGUGAAAUAGUCCAUGUGGGGAUGACAUGGGGUGAGGGUUACCAGGAGGCUCCUGAAGAGGUGACAUUUGAGCCAGGCCUAGAAGGAGAUGCUGGGACAGAACAGAUGGGAAAGAUGACACUGCAGGCUGAAUAGGCGAAGUGGACAUUCUGGAUUCAUUCCCCAGAGAUUCUCCAAGGGCUUGCUGUACACAGGGCAUCUCUGGUGUUACCAGUGAAAUGAGAAAGGCCCUUUCUAGCAUGCGGAGGCUUGGGGCUUGCCAAGAAAGGUCUGCACCUGGUCCAGAGGCCAUGGAGGGAUUGUGAAGUGCUUCCCAGGGAAGAGGAGAUGGGGGUCACAUCUUGAGGCUGAGCAGGCAGGAGCUGGGCAGGCAGAGGAGGUAGCCCCUGCUCAGGCUGCAGCACUUGGGAGCCCAGGGCUUUGGGUGAACUGCAAGGAGGCAGUUGGCGCAGGGGCAUGGCAUUCUGGCAGUGGAGAUGGGGAGAUGAGGCUGGAGUGGGAGACAGGGAGAGGACCUAGUUGAAUCGCCGGGGUUUGAUACUGAGUCACUGGGGAGUCAUGGAGGGCAUUUGAGUAUAGGUAUAUUUUUGUUUUAGAAAAAUCACUGCCAGCCAGGUGCAGUGGCUCAUGCCUGUAAUCCCAGCACUUUGGGAGUGGGCGGAUCACAAGAUCAGGAGUUCAAAACCAGCCUGGUCAAUAUAGUGAAACCCCAUCUCUACUAGAAAUACAAAAAUUAGCCAGGUAUGGUGGCAGGAGCCUGUAGUCCCAGCUACUCCAGAGGCUGAGGCAGUAGAAUCGCUUGAACCUGGGAGGCAGAGGUUGCAGUGAGCCAAGAUUGUACUUCCAGCCUGAGCAACAGAGUGAGACUCCAUCUCACAAAAAAGAAAAAGAAAGAAAGAAAAAGAAAAAUCACUGUGGCAGCGGUGAGAAAAUUGGUUGGAGGGGAACAGGCAAGAGGCAGGGGGACGGUUGCAGUGGUUCAGGAAUGAGAUCAGGGUGGCCGUGCACAGGGAAUGCAGGGGACGAUCCCACAGACACCCAGGAGGUGAAGGCGUCAGGAUAUGGGCUUGAAUGUGGUGUUGAGGGAGCUGGAGGAGGCAUCUGGGCAGAUGAUGGGUGUCUAGCAGUGCAGCACUAAAAUGAAUCACCAGAUUAGAAAUAAGCACAUUGGGAGGCGGAGGUGGGCAGAUCACAAGGUCAGGAGUUCAAGACCAGCCUCGCUGACAUAGUGAAACCCCAUCUCUACCUAAAAUACAAGAAAAAAAAAAAAAAAAUUAGCCAGGUGUGGUGGUACAUGUCUGUAAUCCCAGCUACUUGGGAGACUGAGGCAAGAGAAUCGCUUGAACCCAGGAGGUGGAGGUUACAGUGAGCCAAGAUUGUGCCACUGCACUCCAGCCUUGGCAGUAGAGCAAGACUCUAUCUCAAAAACAAAGAAAGAAAGACAGACUAGAUGAAAGACCAAGUAGAGAAAGAUAUGUCUGUGGGUCUCAAUAUGAAUUGUUUUUGAAACUUUUCCUAUGUUCAUCUUUAAAUAUUGAUAACCAACAUUUUUACAGAGCUUAAUGCUUUGUGCCGGGCACUGUUCUAAAUGCUUCGUGUACAUUUGCUCAUUGAGUCUUUAAAACGAUGCAUUGAGGGAGUUGCUUUCUAUCAUCUCCAUUUUGCAGAUAAAGAAACCGACGCACAGAGAAGUAACUUGUCCAAGGUUAAACAGCUAGCAAGCGGCUGAGCCAGGAUUUGAAGUCAGGCCAUUUGACUCUAGAGUUUUGCUAUCUGCUAUGCUCUACCACCAAAACAUAGAGUUUGUUUAAAGCCUGGUUCACUUCAGCUAUUUUAAAGUCCUGUAGUUUUAAUAUAAAAAUAAGAAAGCAAUGGCAUUUUAUAGAUUAUGGUGGUGGGAUGUAAAAGUGGAAAAUCAUUUUCUGGAAUCUCAGGGAAUACUUGGACAGUGACUACCGCCACCUGGUGGCAGUGUACCCCAAGUAGAGCCAUGACAAAGGCUAACCCCAGUUUCUUUCAGUAUUACAUUUAUGAAACUCCAGGCCAGGGUGACAAGAACUUACUAGUAAUAUGUACACUACUAUUACAAAAAAUGUGUCCUCUACGGGGUUGCAGGAAGACAGAGAGGAGGCUCCCGAUGCCCAGGCCGCGGGUGUAUGCACUGAGGAACUAUGAUUGUGGGGACUCAGGGUGAGGCUGCCACGUCCUGUCCAGACCCUCUCACCAGUUCCCUAGACGACCAGCAUUAGGCAUUUCUGAAACAGCUGGUGGGAGCUAGGGGUGGGAUGGGGUGUUACUCUGCAAACAUGGGCUGUACCCAUGACCCCGACCUUCUAAUCCCAGGGCUUAACUGACUUCAUUAACUCCAGGGGGGCUUGAGAGAGAGCACUCCCCAAAAUCAUACUCUGAUAAGCCACACUCAGAAAGGUCCCAUUCCUGGGGGCUGUGCCGGAUAACCUCCUGCCUAAGGCAGGGGACUGGAGGUGAUGCCCCUUGGCUGCAAACCCUCUGCUGACCAGUGAAAGGGCUGGGUCUGCCCCACCCCCUGCCUGCCAAGGGGCAGUGAGGGAGAAAACUGGGUGAAAGCAGAGCAUGCCGGGUAGCUUGGCCAGGAGCUGAAUGGUCCAGCCUCCCACCUCCCACUGUGGUUGCCAUGGCAACUGAGGAGGGGAGGGAGGAGGGGAGGAGAGACCACUCGUCCCUCAGACAAUGGGAACCUAUUCCAGGUCACCCUUGGCCUUUUCCUGAGGGACUUGGGGCAGUCAGCAGUUCUGGGCUCUUUGUACCCUGCUUGUACCCUGCAGCAUGGGGAUUUGGGGGCAUAGUCCUCGGCUCAGGCCAGGUUGGAGGGCCCCAGAAUCAGGGACAGAAUCCUUGCCCUUGGAAUAUCCCAACCCCACCAGAGCCUUCCCCUUCUUGGGCUCCCAGAUCCCCCAAGAUGAAGUUGGGUUCAUUUUCCAGGGCCCCUCCCCCAUGGAAGAGCGUGACCUUCUGUUGCGAAGUGAGCGGUGGGCACAGGGAGGAGGCAGCCGCCACUUUGGGGACAGGCCAAGUAUUUUAUGAGUAAUUUAAUAUCUGGAGCGCGAACCACUGAGCAGAGAACUCAUCAGCUGCCCGGAGCGAGAGCUGGUCUGGUCCUCAUAACGUAGGGGCAGGGGUGGCAGGCUGACAGGGAUGGACCCGGGGCCACAGAGAAGUUAACCCUUUCAGGGUCCUGGAAUGAAGCUAGGAAGGGGCGUGGCCCCAUGCGCCAGAUCCUGAGCCAUGCAGUUUGGAUGGCUUGAGCCCUUCGAACCUGGGAGGGAAGGGGUAGCCUGUUGAAAAGGCACUGGCUUUGAGACCAGGGGACCUGAGUUUGCUUCUUGCUAGCGAUGUGACCCUGGACUAGUGACUCCACCUGUGUGAGCCUCGGUUCCUUAUGCAUGAAAUGGGGAUGACAAUGAUACCUGUGCCAUUCCUGCCACAGUAAGAAGUGGGCAAGAAUGAAUACAAAGUACUUAAUACAGUGCCCGGGACACAGCAGGCCCUCCGUCAAAGGACCUGCCCUCAUGACUCUGAUGUGUGUGAAGCUUGCCAGAGCCCCUUGAAGCCCCUUGAGGCCCCCAGAGCCCCUCAAAGCCCCCAGACAUCCUUCAUAGGUUCUCAUAACGCAGGAGCAGGGGUGGCAGGCUGACAGGGAUGGCUGUCAGCCCCACCACCCUGCUGUGUCCUGGACUCUUUUUCUUGUCUCAGGACCACCUGACAGAUGUUCAUACCAAUCUGCACAAGACAUAGCUGUGUCCUGGCUCCUGACACUUGCUUUAGCCUCUACUCAGAGUUUCUCAGAAGGGGUCCUGUCCAGCCUUGUGGUGUGGAAGGGGCCUGGGCCCUGGGUCAGCCUCCCAGCUCAGCCACAGUCCGGCUCUGUGGCCAAGGGCAGGUGCUUCGCUUCUCUGGACCUCCAUUUCUUCCUCUAUGAAAGGUGAGUAACAAAGUGCUGUCCUCAUAAGAAUGCUGUCCCAGUUAAUGAAGACCAUCCUGUAAGGAAGCCAGCACAAUGCCUGUUACGUAGUCGGUACUCAUUAAAAGGUGCUCUUCAUCACUGAUACUUCAAAAGAGUGGCUUCGGUGCCAUGUUUUAGUCCAUGUCCCAGCUCUGCCGCAAACUAGCUGUGAGGACUUGGCCAAAUUACUUUCCUAUACCUCAGUUUCCGUAUUUGUGAAAUGGGCAUCACAAUAGUACCUGCCUCAUGGGGAUUAAACAAGUGAAGAUGUGUAAAAUGUUUGGAACAAAGGAGGCGCGUGGCUGGUGUGAGGCUGUUCUCUUCUUCUGAGGUUCAGAAGCAAUUUGUGAAAAGGCAUCUCUGGUCCCCUCCGCUGCCCUCAUCCUGCCACUGGGCCUGUGGCAGGUCUCCCAGGCUGUCCUUUGUUGCAGCAUGGUGAGCUCACUCCCUGGGUUUAUCUUUCUGCCUUCCUGGGGGACUCCAACAGCAUCAAGGGCUUCUCCUGCCAUAGGAAUGGUAGGAGCACUGGUCUCAGAGUCACCCACGCACUGUGGUGACCUCAGGUACGUAACUCCAGAAUGGCUUCUUCUGGGAUUCUGCCCUUCGUCAAUCAUUACAUCUCCCUUUUCUACACAGCCUAGUCCUGGCCAUUGUUUCACUUCCUGGAAAAAAAUUCCAUAUGCCUGAGCUGAGAUGAGCCAGAGACCAUCUGGCGCAGUCCCCUCAUUUUACAGAUUGGGAAGCUGAGGCCAGGCUUUGGCUUCAUCACAGUGCUCCAAAAGGAAGAGCCCAGCCAGCCCAGGGAUUUUACGGAUGAGGAAACCCAGUUUGAGAGUGGAGUCACUUAUCUGAGAUCACACAGUGUCAGCGACUCUGGGACCAGUGCUCCUGUAGCUUCCUUUGCCCCCAGUGACCUUCUUUCAGUGUGGUUUCACUGAGGAUGUCAAAGUCUCUCUCCACUUGGAUCCAAGGAAAGGGCCAUUCAUUGAGCACCUGGGUCUACAAAGUGGGCAGCUCCAUGCCCUAGUGUGCCCCUUUUUGUGAUUUCCUGGUUGCAGUGAGUGCCUGCUCUGGUUGACAGACCCCAGCUUACAAAGGUGAUCUUGAUCUUUUUUUCUUAGAGAUGGGGUUUCACCAUGUUAUUUAGGAGGCUGGUCUCGAACUCCUGACCUCCUGACUCCACCCACCUCGGCCUCUCAAAGUGCUAGGAUUAUAGGCGUGAGCCACCAUGCCCGACCGAUCUUUCUCUUCUUAAGAAUCCGUGGGCACAUAUAUCAUUGUCCCAUUUUGUAGAUGAGGAAACCGAGGCUCUGAAGGGGAAAAGUGACUCCAGGUCACUCGAUGAUCAGGCCCAGCCUGGCUGGGGGCUCACUGGGAAACUGUUCUCCCCUCCCCAUGACUGGCAGGACCUGCACAGGCUUCCACCACUGUGAACUCACUCUGUACAAAGCCAUCAUGGCCUAAGCUGUAAAACAGAAGGAAUGAAGACAUAUUUUUCAGGUCUCCUUCCCCGGAAACCAGCUGGGGCUGGGGCCCAGCGAGGCUGACAUUUACGUACUGUCUUUAAUCACAGUAGCUGACGUAUUCCAAACACGGUCUGGAGACACCUUGUUAACGAGGGCCCAGCUGUCUCUCCUGUGGCUACCUGCGCUGGCAGGGGAAGCCUGCCCCGAGAUGUGCUAACUAAGGCCUGGAGCCUGCAGACAGGCCCACCCUGUGGCAUGGCUCACGUGUGGCCGCUGUAAGCUCUGCAGAAGCCAGGGCUUGUUGGAGUGGCUGAAAUCCAGGCAGGCGGGAGAAGGAAAUAUCUGUCCUGAGGUGGGCACAGGAUUUUUGUCUCUUGGUAGCUCAUCUGAACCUCACAACAACCAAUAGUCACAUUUCACAGGUAAGGAUGCUAACAUUUGUUGAGGACCUACUAUGUGUCUGGGAAGGUGUGUGUUUCUUUUGUUUUGUUUGAAGACAUGGUCUUGCUCUGUUGCCUGGGCUGGAGUGCAGUGAUGUGAUCAUGGCUCCCUGUAGCCUCAACCUCCUGGGCUCAAUAGAGCCUCCCACCUCAGCCUCCUGAGUAGCUGGGACAUAGGUGUGUGCCAUCACACCCAGCUAAUUUUUUUAUGUUUUGUAAAUACAGGGUCCCACUAUGUUGCCCAGGCUGGUCUUGAACUCCUGGGCUCAAGGGAUGCACCUGCUUUAGCCUCCGGAGGUGCUGGAAUUACAGGUAUGAGCCACUGUGCCCAGCCUUGUGUUUCUUUAUAACAGCCAGAUUUUAUUUUGGGCCUACUAUGUACCAGGCGGGUGCUUUACAUACACUAGCUCAUGGAAUGCUCGUAACAAUAGUAGCCGAUAGAGUUUCAUUUUGCAACCAAGGAUAUGAAAGCUCAGAGUCGAGGCGACUUGCUUGUCAAGGUCAUCCAGCUAGAAAGUGGCAAAGCGGGAAUGAACCUGGUGGGGCUGAAGCCAGAAGCCAAUGAGGGAAACUGCACGCUGCAUCUGGCACGGCGCCUGUCACACUGGAGCUGCCUGCCGCAUCAGGCUUUGCUUCUUCUGCCUUCUUUUUGCUGGUUGGCUUGUUUACAUCCUCUCUUGCUCCACAGAUGCUGUAAGGCAGAUUCUAGGAAGAAAUAUGUGAUGUGGCUGGUGCCGUGGCUCACACCUGUAAUCUCAGCACUUUGGGAAGCCGAGUCAGGCAGAUUGCUUGAGCUCAGGAGUUUGAGAUCAGCCUGGGCAACAUGGCAAAACCCCAUCUCUACAAAAAUAAGCCAAGCAUGGCAGUGUGCACCUGUGGUGUCAGCUACUUGGGAGGCUGAGGAAGGAAGAUCACUUGAGCCAAGAGGUUGAGGCUGCAGUGAGGCACGAUCACGCCAUUGCACUCCAGCCUGGACAACAGAGCAAGACCCUGUCUCAAAAGAAAAAAAAGUGAUGAGAAGACAUAAAUGAGAAGAAUCUGCAAGAGCAAUGGGAAAAUGGGGAGGGGAAGGCAGGAAGACGUAAACAGAAAUGAGGAGGGAGGCUUCAAAGAAAGUACGGGCCAGGCAUGGUGUCUCAUGCCUGUAAUCCCAGCACUUUGGGAGAGGGAGGUGGGCAGAUCACUCGAGGAGCUCCAGACCAGCCUGGUCAACAUGGUGAAACUCCGUCUCUACUAAAAAUACAAAAAUUAGCCAGGUAUGGUGGCACACACCUACAAUCCCAGCCACUCAGAAGGCUGAGGCAAGAGAAUUGCUUGAGCCCAGGAGGCGGAGGUUGCAGUGAGCCGAGAUUGCACCACUGCACUCCAGCCUGGGAGCCAGAGUGAGACUCUGUCUCAAAAAAGAAAGAAAGAAAGAAAGUGAGGUGCGUAAAGCCCUGCACACUCUCCGAGCCCUGGUGGGUCUCUCUGGAGUUCUCGGGCCUCAGUUGUCCACUGGGUCCUUGCCUCUGAACAUUGGUGACGACGCCCACAUCAGGGGCUGCUGUGAGGAUGUCAGGGGCAUCUCUGUACGACGGGCACGUUCACGAUGCUCAGUUUGGCUUCUCCCUGCCUGCUUUCCUUUCCUUCCAGAUGCCAAGCCUUCCCCUGGAAAUGUCCCAAGGGCCGAGGAAGCAUUAUUAUUAUAGGCCCUAUCUUUCCAGGCAGGACACAAUUUUGACAGUCCUUCCAUCUUGCCUUUCUUCCUUCUGUUUGGCAGCUAUUCACUGAGCAUCUAUUAUGUAUAUCUGUCUCCAGGCCCUACAGUCUCUGGAGUCGAUCAGUCAAUUAAUUAAUUAACCAAUAUGGCCAUGCUUUCAUGCAUUCAUUUGAUAAACAUGAAUCUUCCAGGCUCUCUGGGCUGUGAGGUGUCAGUUUCAGCCUUCUUUGUUCCCUCCUGGGUCCUGGCUGUGUUCUGUGUAGAUGAGGAUUCUGGAUAAGUGGGGUGCAAUCGAGGGACGGGCUGCUGCUUUCUCACUGGUCAGUGACCCUGUCCUUAUUCGUUGCCUCUUUCUUGAGGGCAUCACCAAGCUCCCCUCAUUCCUAAUAAGUAGGCUUGGCGUGGGCUUAAGACUGUAUCACAAGCUCCCCGGUUGAGUCUGAUGUAACCUCCUCUUUCUGUGGGAUAGUCUGAGGCUCAGAGAGGGGUAGUGACUUGUCUGAAGUCACACAGUAAGUCAGGUUCCGAGGCCAGCCUAAAACUGGGAGCUCUUAACUUCCCAUCCAGGGUGCCUCCUGCUCUGCCAGGUCCCCUCACUUCCGGUGUCCCCCGGAGGGGGGACUGCUAAGUUUCUUGAGCAAACACCUGCUUUUCUCCUGCAUCUGGUCAACAGGGUUGUCUAUGAGAAUGCCUCCUGGCUAUGUGCAAAAAUAAAUGCAGCUUGCAGCUUUCUCUGAAGGAGGGCGUGUGUGUGUGUGUGUGUGUGUGUGUGUGUGUGUGUGUGUGUGCGUUUGUAUGUGUUGUUUAAGGCAGGGCACCUGGUGCCCCGUGAUUAGCAGGAGACAAGAAAGGCGAGGACAUGGAGGAGAAACCAGGAGGGAGACCACAGUGCUCAGCAUUGGGGAAAUGAUGAUCCACCUUUUGUCCUUCUCUCUGCCUGACCUUGAGCUCCCGCAUCCUCUCCAUCACAAUAUCAUCACCAUGAGCACGACAGCGACAAUACCAGUAACAUGUUAAUGACAGAGCACUUGCCGUCUACCAGUCCCUAGGCUAACCAGAGCCUGUGGAUGACAGAACUCAACAUCAUCACAAGUCAAAAUGCCGAACCACUGCUCCUGACCCGGGCUACUUAAAGCAUGGUGCCAGCCAGGCAGCAUCAAUGCCUCCCAGCAACUUAUUAGAAAAGCAAAUUCUCAGGCCUCUACCCCAGACCUACUGAAUUCGAAUCUGCAUUUUGGCAAGACCCAGGUUGUAAUCUGGCAGAUGAACUUACAGGAAGGAGCACUGGCUUGGGAGUCGGGCAGCAUCUUCCUGCUCCUCUUCUCCAAGGCCAUCCUUGUCUUGGUGUCUGCUCCCCCCUGGUGGCAGCAAGCGUGGAGCAGCCUGGAGCUUUGACAGCCCAUCCCUCCUUUUGGAAACACACUUCAAAGCCUUCAAAGGGUACAUAUCCUUUCACCUGGGGAGUCCACAUCUAGGCGCUUCACCCAGGAAAAGCGUCAAGGAUCUGCAUCAGGACAUCACUGCUGCAUUGUUUAUUUGUAUGGGGGUAAAACAGGAGACCCCUGUACAAAUAAACAGGAGACCAGGCAGUCACUUGACGGGAGCCACACAGCUAGUGAGAAGCCCAGGCAGGAUUUGAACUCAGGUCUAAGUUAAGAGCUAGUGCCUCAACUGCCACCUUUACCGCCCCUCAGGGAUCCUCCUGUCUGCAGUGACAGAGCAGCAGCUCUGGAACCGACCUGCCAGGCGUGGAACCUGGUUCCGUUACUUAACUAAUUGCAGAAUGCUGGGCAAGUCAUUGACUUGCUCUGCCUCAGUGUUCCCAUCUGUAAAAGGGGAGCAUGAUUGCAAAGAUUACAUGGGUUAACAUGAAUACACAGAACCGUGCAUGCUUCGAGCUGUUGUUACCACUGCUUAUUACGCCCCCACCUUCCUGCAUCUUGGCCGUUUCCUCUCCUUUCCUCUCUCAACCAACUCAAACCAUUGUGGGACACCGGGAGGGGCAUGUGGGUCAGUAUCAAUGGGCGUGAAGAAGCCAGGACUCACACUGUAGUCAGCAGGGAGUCAGGCAGCACUGGGCCCAACUUCCCGCUCCUCUUCUCCAAGGUUAGAGCCACCUUUGGGUCUAGAGCAGGUUGGCAAACUAUAACCCAUAGGCUAAAGAACCUGUCUCAAAAAUAAAUAUAAAUAAAUAAAUGUGAAGAGUCGAGGCACAUGCACGUCUGUAUGGAGCAAUGCAUGUUGGACUGUGAUGGGCAUGGCUGGAUGCACGGUCAGAGCUGGGAUUUCUGGCAGGUCUGGAAGCUCCUGGGAGAGCCCAACAAGGGCACUGUUAUGAGUGUCCUGACUGUGGGGGGACAGGGAUCUGGUGGAGGAC
This is a non-coding RNA of Callithrix jacchus (white-tufted-ear marmoset), 15889 nucleotides long. Lineage: Eukaryota; Metazoa; Chordata; Mammalia; Primates; Cebidae. The record is from RefSeq and is a predicted model, not a curated record.